GAUGAACGCUGGCGGCGUGCUUAACACAUGCAAGUCGAACGAAGCACUUUAUUUGAUUUCCUUCGGGAUUGAUUAUUUUGUGACUGAGUGGCGGACGGGUGAGUAACGCGUGGGUAACCUGCCUUGUACAGGGGGAUAACAGUUGGAAACGGCUGCUAAUACCGCAUAAGCGCACAGCAUCGCGUGAUGCAGUGUGAAAAACUCCGGUGGUAUAAGAUGGACCCGCGUUGGAUUAGCUAGUUGGUGAGGUAACGGCCCACCAAGGCGACGAUCCAUAGCCGACCUGAGAGGGUGACCGGCCACAUUGGGACUGAGACACGGCCCAAACUCCUACGGGAGGCAGCAGUGGGGAAUAUUGCACAAUGGGCGAAAGCCUGAUGCAGCGACGCCGCGUGAGCGAAGAAGUAUUUCGGUAUGUAAAGCUCUAUCAGCAGGGAAGAUAAUGACG
RNAcentral lists this ribosomal RNA (448 nucleotides) under uncultured bacterium. Its description in RNAcentral is "bacterial SSU rRNA". It matches the Rfam family "Bacterial small subunit ribosomal RNA", at positions 28 to 456 of the family's 1533-position model. The record is from RNAcentral.